GAAGAUCUAGUGGCGAACGGGUGAGUAACACGUGAGAAACCUGCCCUGGACUCGGGGAUAACUCGGAGAAAUCUGAGCUAAUACCGGAUGCCUUCAGAGAACCGCAUGGUUCAUUGAAGAAAGUUUUUCGGUCUGGGAGGGUCUCGCGGCCUAUCAGUUAGUUGGUGAGGUAACGGCUCACCAAGACUUCGACGGGUAGCUGGUUUGAGAGAACGAUCAGCCACACUGGGACUGAGACACGGCCCAGACUCCUACGGGAGGCAGCAGUGGGGAAUCUUGCGCAAUGGGCGAAAGCCUGACGCAGCAACGCCGCGUGCGGGAUGAAGGCCUUCGGGUUGUAAACCGCUUUCAGCAGGGACGAAGAUGACGGUACCUGCAGAAGAAGCUCCGGCUAACUACGUGCCAGCAGCCGCGGUAAUACGUAGGGAGCAAGCGUUGUCCGGAUUUAUUGGGCGUAAAGAGCUCGUAGGCGGUUUCGUAAGUCGGAUGUGAAAAAUCUGGGCUCAACCCAGUGGAGCACCCGAUACUGCGGUGACUGGAGUCCGGUAGG
This 550-nucleotide ribosomal RNA is filed under the name uncultured bacterium. RNAcentral describes it as "bacterial SSU rRNA". It matches the Rfam family "Bacterial small subunit ribosomal RNA", at positions 86 to 655 of the family's 1533-position model. The record is from RNAcentral.